This 492-nucleotide long non-coding RNA is filed under the name Stegodyphus dumicola. Its description in RNAcentral is "uncharacterized LOC118191430, transcript variant X1". The record is from RNAcentral. Lineage: Eukaryota; Metazoa; Arthropoda; Arachnida; Araneae; Eresidae.
UUAUAGGUUUUCGAGCUCAGCCAGCCCAGCCCAGCCUAGCCACCAUUUUUCAUCAUGAAGGAUUUUGGAUUUGUAGUUUUAGUGGCUGUACUUAAGUAUUCCGGCACUUUGUGAACUUCCUAGAGUGAUUGACUUCCCGAGAUUGAAACUGCCUGCCUGUAAGAAAGGCUUCUCAUGUGGUUAUAUAGCAACCGACGAAUACAGGGCCAUCGAACUUUCCAUUAAAGAGCCUUGCAUUCAAAGCGACUGUAUUUGUCCAAAGGGAACUGAUUGCAGAUUUUAUGGAGUGGUAAUAAAAAAAGUGUAUGAUUACCGUUGUUACCUUUCUUUAAGAACUCAGAGUGGAAUAUUUGUUUAGAAUAAGGACUUUGUUUUCAAGCAAUGAAAGAUUCAGUUAAAAAAAUGUUGAGUGGUGCUCCUCGCUAAAAUUUUCAUUCAUUUUUAUAUCAAGAAAUAUUGUAGUCAAUAAAGUUUUCUUAUUCACUAAAACUA